AUUGAACGCUGGCGGCAGGCCUAAUACAUGCAAGUCGAGCGAGCGGCGGACGGGUGAGUAAUGUCUGGGAAACCGCCGGAUGGAGGGGGAUAACUACUGGAAAAGGCAGCUAAUACCGCAUACCAUCAGAUCUGCCAAGACGGUAUUAGCGAGAAGGUGAGGUAACGGCUCACCAAGGCGACGAUCCCUAGCCGGUCUGAGAGGAUGACCGGCCACACUGGAACUGAGACACGGUCCAGACUCCUACGGGAGGCAGCAGUAGGGAAUAUUGCACAAUGGGCGAAAGCCUGAUGGAGCCAUGCCGCGUGUGUGAAGAAGGUCUUCGGAUUGUAAAGCUCUGUCAGCAGGGAAGCGUUACCCAAAGAGGAAGCACCGGCUAACUCCGUGCCAGCAGCCGCGGUAAUUC
Molecule: ribosomal RNA, 406 nt
Filed under: uncultured bacterium
Lineage: Bacteria
Description: partial 16S ribosomal RNA
Rfam family: Bacterial small subunit ribosomal RNA
Source: RNAcentral